AUGGGGGCAGCCUGAUCCAGCGAUCGCCGCGUGACUGAAGAAGUAUUUCGGUAUGUAAAGGUCUAUCAGCAGGGAAGAAAAUGACGGUACCUGACUAAGAAGCCCCGGCUAACUACGUGCCAGCAGCCGCGGUAAUACGA
RNAcentral lists this ribosomal RNA (140 nucleotides) under uncultured Clostridium sp. RNAcentral describes it as "partial 16S ribosomal RNA". It matches the Rfam family "Bacterial small subunit ribosomal RNA", at positions 371 to 528 of the family's 1533-position model. Lineage: Bacteria; Bacillati; Bacillota; Clostridia; Eubacteriales; Clostridiaceae. The record is from RNAcentral.